This 494-nucleotide ribosomal RNA is filed under the name uncultured bacterium. RNAcentral's name for it is "bacterial SSU rRNA". It matches the Rfam family "Bacterial small subunit ribosomal RNA", at positions 903 to 1397 of the family's 1533-position model. The record is from RNAcentral.
AAAUGAAUAGACGGGGGCCCGCACAAGCGGAGGAACAUGUGGUUUAAUUCGAUGAUACGCGAGGAACCUUACCCGGGCUCGAACGGCGAUUGAAUUUGGUGGAGACAUCAAAGCCAGCAAUGGCAAUCGUCGAGGUGCUGCAUGGUUGUCGUCAGCUCGUGCCGUGAGGUGUCGGCUUAAGUGCCAUAACGAGCGCAACCCUUACCGUUAGUUACCAUCAGGUUAGGCUGGGGACUCUAGCGGGACUGCCGCCGUAAGGUGUGAGGAAGGUGGGGAUGACGUCAAAUCAGCACGGCCCUUACGUCCGGGGCUACACACGUGUUACAAUGGGAGGUACAAAGGGCAGCUACACAGCGAUGUGAUGCUAAUCUCCAAAACCUCUCCCAGUUCGGAUAGGAGUCUGCAACCCGACUCCUUGAAGCUGGAUUCGCUAGUAAUCGCGCAUCAGCCAUGGCGCGGUGAAUACGUUCCCGGGCCUUGUACACACCGCCCGU